GAUGAACGCUGGCGGCGUGCCUAAUACAUGCAAGUCGAGCGAACGGACGAGAAGCUUGCUUCUCUGAUGUUAGCGGCGGACGGGUGAGUAACACGUGGAUAACCUACCUAUAAGACUGGGAUAACUUCGGGAAACCGUAGCUAAUACCGGAUAAUAUUUUGAACCGCAUGGUUCAAAAGUGAAAGACGGUCUUGCUGUCACUUAUAGAUGGAUCCGCGCUGCAUUAGCUAGUUGGUAAGGUAACGGCUUACCAAGGCAACGAUGCAUAGCCGACCUGAGAGGGUGCUCGGCCACACAAGAACUGAGACCCGGUCCAGACUGCUAGGGGAGGCAGACGCAGGGAAUCUUCCGCCCUGCGCACCAGCCUGACGGAGCAACGCCGCGUGAGUGAUGAAGGUCUUCGGUUCGUAAAACGCUGUUAAUCGGGAAGGACGUAUGGGUCAGUAACUGGGCACCUCUCCACGGUGCCCAAAAAGAACGGCACGGCUAAACUCGAC
Molecule: ribosomal RNA, 497 nt
Filed under: uncultured bacterium
Lineage: Bacteria
Description: partial 16S ribosomal RNA
Rfam family: Bacterial small subunit ribosomal RNA
Source: RNAcentral